This 254-nucleotide ribosomal RNA is filed under the name uncultured bacterium. Its description in RNAcentral is "partial 16S ribosomal RNA". It matches the Rfam family "Bacterial small subunit ribosomal RNA", at positions 526 to 779 of the family's 1533-position model. The record is from RNAcentral.
CGUAGGUGGCAAGCGUUGUCCGGAUUUACUGGGCGUAAAGAGCGCGCAGGCGGUCGGAUCAGUCGAAUGUGAAAGCCCCCGGCUCAACUGGGGAGGGUCAUUCGAUACUGUCCGACUCGAAGGCAGGAGAGGGAAGCGGAAUUCCCGGUGUAGUGGUGAAAUGCGUAGAUAUCGGGAGGAACACCAGUGGCGAAGGCGGCUUUCUGGCCUGUUCUUGACGCUGAGGCGCGAAAGCUAGGGGAGCGAACGGGAUU